GAGUUGUAAUUUGCAGAGGAUGCUUCGGGUUCGGCUCCGGUCUAAGUUCCUUGGAACAGGACGUCAUAGAGGGUGAGAAUCCCGUAUGUGACUGGCCACCACGCCCGUGUGAAGCUCCUUCGACGAGUCGAGUUGUUUGGGAAUGCAGCUCAAAAUGGGUGGUAAAUUUCAUCUAAAGCUAAAUAUUGGCCAGAGACCGAUAGCGCACAAGUAGAGUGAUCGAAAGAUGAAAAGCACUUUGGAAAGAGAGUCAAACAGUACGUGAAAUUGUUGAAAGGGAAGCGCUUGCAACCAGACUUGCCCGUGGGUGAUCAGCCGGUAUUCUUACCGGUGCACUCGCCCGUGGUCAGGCCAGCAUCGGUUUGGGCGGCUGGAUAAAGUCCACCGGAAUGUAGCUCCUCUCGGGGAGUGUUAUAGCCGGAGGUGCCAUGCAGCCCGCCCGGACCGAGGACCGCGCUUCGGCUAGGAUGCUGGCGUAAUGGUUGUAAGCGACCCGUCUUGAAACACGGACCAAGGAGUCUAACAUCUAUGCGAGUGUUUGGGUGUCAAACCCAUGCGCGUAAUGAAAGUGAACGGAGGUGGGAACCCUCAAGGGUGCACCAUCGACCGAUCCUGAUGUCUUCGGAUGGAUUUGAGUAAGAGCAUAGCUGUUGGGACCCGAAAGAUGGUGAACUAUGCCUGAAUAGGGGUGAAGCCAGAGGAAACUCUGGG
Molecule: ribosomal RNA, 711 nt
Filed under: Acarospora strigata
Lineage: Eukaryota; Fungi; Ascomycota; Lecanoromycetes; Acarosporales; Acarosporaceae
Description: partial large subunit ribosomal RNA
Rfam family: Eukaryotic large subunit ribosomal RNA
Source: RNAcentral